This 657-nucleotide ribosomal RNA is filed under the name Salmonella enterica subsp. enterica serovar Heidelberg. Its description in RNAcentral is "partial 23S ribosomal RNA". It matches the Rfam family "Bacterial large subunit ribosomal RNA", at positions 711 to 1364 of the family's 2925-position model. The record is from RNAcentral. Lineage: Bacteria; Pseudomonadati; Pseudomonadota; Gammaproteobacteria; Enterobacterales; Enterobacteriaceae.
AGACCCGAAACCCGGUGAUCUAGCCAUGGGCAGGUUGAAGGUUGGGUAACACUAACUGGAGGACCGAACCGACUAAUGUUGAAAAAUUAGCGGAUGACCUGUGGCUGGGGGUGAAAGGCCAAUCAAACCGGGAGAUAGCUGGUUCUCCCCGAAAGCUAUUUAGGUAGCGCCUCGUGAAUUCAUCUCCGGGGGUAGAGCACUGUUUCGGCUAGGGGGCCAUCCCGGCUUACCAACCCGAUGCAAACUGCGAAUACCGGAGAAUGUUAUCACGGGAGACACACGGCGGGUGCUAACGUCCGUCGUGAAGAGGGAAACAACCCAGACCGCCAGCUAAGGUCCCAAAGUCAUGGUUAAGUGGGAAACGAUGUGGGAAGGCCCAGACAGCCAGGAUGUUGGCUUAGAAGCAGCCAUCAUUUAAAGAAAGCGUAAUAGCUCACUGGUCGAGUCGGCCUGCGCGGAAGAUGUAACGGGGCUAAACCAUGCACCGAAGCUGCGGCAGCGACGCUGAUGCGUUGUUGGGUAGGGGAGCGUUCUGUAAGCCUGCGAAGGUGACCUGUGAGGGUUGCUGGAGGUAUCAGAAGUGCGAAUGCUGACAUAAGUAACGAUAAAGCGGGUGAAAAGCCCGCUCGCCGGAAGACCAAGGGUUCCUGUCCAACG